Molecule: ribosomal RNA, 243 nt
Filed under: Triticum aestivum (bread wheat)
Lineage: Eukaryota; Viridiplantae; Streptophyta; Magnoliopsida; Poales; Poaceae
Description: partial small subunit ribosomal RNA
Source: RNAcentral
AUGGCCUCCGGUCAGCAGGAGAGGUCGCAGCUGGACCGCAAGGCCCGCGAGGGCGAGACCGUCGUCCCCGGCGGCACCGGCGGCACCAACCUGCAGGCGCAGGAGAACCUCGCCGAAGCCGCGGCGGGCAGACGCGCAAGGAGCAGAUGGGGGAGGAAGAGCACCAACGACGAGUCCGGCGGCGAGCGCGCCGCCAGGGAGGGCAUCGACGUCGACGAGUCCAAGUUCAAGACCAAGUCCUAG